AAGACGGUUCAUUCAUUAUGUUUAUGUUGAGAGCAAAUCACAGAUAUUAUGACUUCUUCUCUUCUCUCCACAUUUAUUGGAGAACCAAAUAUCUAUUUUUUUCAAGGAAAACAUUUAUAAAUGCAAAAAAACAGCAACAAUUUUCAUUUUUCUUGGUCUGUCGAUCAGAAAUCUCUUCCUGUGCACUUCCAUAAUAAGGCAUACGCAUAGCAUCUCUCACACAUGUUGGGGAUAUGACUGAUACUCCUUGAUUUGUCUCAUCCUUAAAUAUUGGGAUUGAUUAAAAUUUAGUGGAUCAAUCCUAAAUCGUGUUAUUUGAAGAUGACGAUGAAGAGCUGGAACAAAAUGAUGACUCCGAUGAGGAAAGCUUGGACCAAAUUUUCUAGAAAGAUCCGUCUUAGCAGAUCUUCAGGGCAUGUAAAAUUGCAGCACGACGUGAGGUCGUGCGAAUACGAGGAUGUCCACGUGCUGUGGGAGAUGCUCAAGAGAAACGACACCAAUCUAACAAAAACACCCCAAGAAAGAGUUCGUUUUGGGAGUUUGUAGAUCGCUGCCGCUCUCGUUAAAUAUUCAAUUGCGCUCCUUCAUCUACUUGUAUAUUACUAGCAAUCACCAUUUUUGUCUCCACUUUGGCUUUUGGAAGUGAUUUAGAAUACAAAAUUUCAUGUACAUUCUGUUUAUAAUAAAAUUUAUUGCUCAAUAA
Long non-coding RNA from Salvia miltiorrhiza (redroot sage), 703 nucleotides. RefSeq lists it as uncharacterized. The record is from RefSeq and is a predicted model, not a curated record. Lineage: Eukaryota; Viridiplantae; Streptophyta; Magnoliopsida; Lamiales; Lamiaceae. The transcript has 3 exons.